RNAcentral lists this unclassified non-coding RNA (1284 nucleotides) under Leishmania donovani. RNAcentral describes it as "gene:LdHU3.35.6930(CDS-product:tRNA_(guanine-N(7) -)-methyltransferase_putative)". The record is from RNAcentral. Lineage: Eukaryota; Euglenozoa; Kinetoplastea; Trypanosomatida; Trypanosomatidae.
UAGGACCAGCACCUCUUUUUUUUUCGCAUUUCUUCACCGCGGCGAUGGCCUCUGAAGAGCAGCCUCGAUGGACGCGGCUACCGAUCCGGACGCGUCCGCAUCGGAACCCGCUCGCCGAGAAUGACGACGAGCACCCGGAGUGCCCGGCACAGUUCGAGAAGCGCUUCUCGGAGUUCUACCCUGGUAUGGCCAACCCAGUAGUUGAGUUCGUCGACGUCGGUUGCGCAUUCGGGGGCAUGCUCUUCUCGCUGGCGGCGGUGUUCCCCACAACGUGCAUGAUGGGGCUCGAGAUUCGGCCUAAGGUGGUCAGCUUUGCACAGGAGAAGGCACUGGCGCUGCGCCAGGAGAACGCGGCGUCCUUGACGCAGCACUAUCGCAAUGUCUGGUUCGAGCAAAUGAAUGUGAUGAAGUUUGGGUCCAACUGCUUUACGAAAGGCCAGCUGUCUCGUCUGUUCUUCUGUUACCCGGACCCGCACUGGAAGCGCAAGAACAUCCGCCGCCGCAUCAUUUCACCGGGCUUGGUGCAAGAGUACGCGUACUGGCUGCGCCACGGUGGUCUAGUGUACACCGUCUCGGAUGUAGCUGAGCUGGAAGAGUGGAUGGUACGGUGUCUCGACGACUCGCCACUGUUUCGCCGUUUGGCGGAGGCCGAGCUCAGAACGCCCGAGCAUAAACAGGUCCUCGAUAUUGUGACCGGUGCCAGCGAGGAUGCACAGCGCACGGCGCGCAAGGGCCUGCAGAAGCACUUCGCCGUGCACAUGCGCAUCUAAGCUGGCAUUCAACUCCAGCGUGUGUGUCCGUGCCUGUAUGUGCGGAUUGUGUUGAACUGUGGUAUGUUUUCCGUCGAGUAAGAUGAUAAUCGUUUUUUGCAUUCAUAAGCGUGGCUGCCGUUCCGAUCUGCUGCACAGGUCGAGCAAGGCCCCCUCCGAGCAGCUGUACCUACACAAACGACCGCCCGUGAGUCUUAGCAGUUGGUUAUCUCUGUAAAAGAUCCCCUGCUUUGGGGUGGGUGGGUGGGUGCUCACCAUGCGCGAAAGCCGCGUAAAGAGUGAUGCCUGAACCAGCUCUAACGCUUCCGUUUAGCUUCUUCUGCGCACGCCUUCCUGUGCCGAGCAGAUGAUGUGUUAGCGGCCUCUCCACUCCGCCUACCCACCCACACACGCGAUGCCGCCCACUCUUCCCACUCAUACGCCUCCGCCUCCGCGCUACCAUCGUACGGUGCCUUUUUCUCCCCAUUCCCGACUGUUGUGUUGCGCGCCAUCGGUUCUCUUCUGUCACACGCAG